This 442-nucleotide ribosomal RNA is filed under the name uncultured bacterium. RNAcentral's name for it is "partial 16S ribosomal RNA". It matches the Rfam family "Bacterial small subunit ribosomal RNA", at positions 338 to 795 of the family's 1533-position model. The record is from RNAcentral.
CCUACGGGAGGCAGCAGUGGGGAAUAUUGGGCAAUGGGCGCAAGCCUGACCCAGCAACGCCGCGUGAAGGAAGAAGGCUUUCGGGUUUUAAACUUCUUUUGUCAGGGAAGAGUAGCAGACGAUACCUGACGAAUAAGCCACGGCUAACUACGUGCCAGGAGCCGCGGUACUAAGGAGGUGGCAAGCGUUGUCCGGAUUUACUGGGGGUAAAGGGCGUGUAGCCGGGUUGACAAGUCAGAUGUGAAAUCCUGCGGCUUAACCGCAGAACUGCAUUUGAAACUGUUGAUCUUGAGUACUGGAGAGGCAGAUGGAAUGCGUAGUGUAGCGGUGAAAUGCGUAGAUAUUAGGAGGAACACCAGUGGCGAAGGCAGUCUGCUGGACAGCAACUGACGGUGAGGCGCGAAAGCGUGGGGAGCAAACAGGAUUAGAUACCCCAGUAGUC